This 359-nucleotide ribosomal RNA is filed under the name uncultured bacterium. Its description in RNAcentral is "bacterial SSU rRNA". It matches the Rfam family "Bacterial small subunit ribosomal RNA", at positions 29 to 412 of the family's 1533-position model. The record is from RNAcentral.
AGCGAACGCUGGCGGCAGGCUUAACACAUGCAAGUCGAACGGAUCCUUCGGGAUUAGUGGCGGACGGGUGAGUAACACGUGGGAACGUGCCUUUUGGUUCGGAACAACACAGGGAAACUUGUGCUAAUACCGGAUGUGCCCUUCGGGGGAAGGAUUUAUCGCCAUUAGAGCGGCCCGCGUCUGAUUAGCUAGUUGGUGAGGUAAAGGACUCACCAAGGCUACGAUCAGUAGCUGGUCNGAGAGGAUGAUCAGCCACACUGGGACUGAGACACGGCCCAGACUCCUACGGGAGGGCAGCAGUGGGGGAAUCUUGCGCAAUGGGGGAAACCCUGACGCAGCCAUGCCGCGUGAAUGAUGAA